GCAUUAAUGGGGUAGUGGUAACCUGGGUCGUUGCCAUCGACCCGCCAGGGGUUCGAUUCCCCUUUAAUGCA
Molecule: non-coding RNA, 71 nt
Organism: Rhodofomes roseus
Lineage: Eukaryota; Fungi; Basidiomycota; Agaricomycetes; Polyporales; Fomitopsidaceae
Source: the annotation of a RefSeq genome assembly